Poecilia latipinna (sailfin molly) is the source of this 2048-nucleotide long non-coding RNA. RefSeq lists it as uncharacterized. The record is from RefSeq and is a predicted model, not a curated record. The transcript has 3 exons. Lineage: Eukaryota; Metazoa; Chordata; Actinopteri; Cyprinodontiformes; Poeciliidae.
CACAUAUAUUCUUUCCUUCUUCAAUUCAACUGCAACCCAACCUAUCACACGCAUAUCUUGUGUUUGAGUGCAAUUUCAUUUGAUGACAAAAACAAAACAAAAAGAUGCAGCACCUAACGAACUCAACAGUGUAGCUAAUAAUUAAUAUAUUAAAUUUGAGUCGGUGAGUAUAUCAUGCCCUGGUAAAGAACAUUCCUGCUCUAUCGCUCAUGUCUGUCCACUUCCUGAUGUAUUGUGUGUUAGUUCCUGCCCAGACUCGGCUUCGCUGCCUCUCAACAACACAGCGGACCGUUAACCAUGCGGAGGUCCGAUAAGAAUGCGCUAUACGUCACAGUGUGUGUGGAAUGCCGUCACUUCGCCGGCUGACUUCGACCUGAACCGUCCUAUGAAUAGACCCGACCAGGGAACCAUAAAUAGGCCUGGCAGCACAAAGCCAGGAUGAUACUCUUGUCCUGCAAGCUAAAGCCAAUCAGAGACUAAAUACCUCACACCAGGGAGGAAAUGACCAUCCAGGGAAGACCUGCCUCAUACAAACCCUGCUGAGAAAAGAUAGAGAUGUUUGUUUUAAACUUGUGAUUCAUUAUUCCUAAUAACUUCCCAUGUGAGAAACUGAGAUGUCUUGUGACUCAGUCCAUGCUCUUCUAAAUAAGGCCCUGAGCUCCUCUGUGAUAUUCAGCUUUGUGUUCAGCACUCACCGUCUUUAUUUUAGCCCUGACACACAGAUUGCAGAGAAGUAGUAAAUUAAUGAAGUGAUUCUCUGUUUUUAGGAUGAUGCAGAGGAGAAAAAGAGAGAAGCAAAACUCCUGCUGCUGUGUUCGUGCUGUUGGGAAAUUUAAACUAAACAUUGGGUCAAAAAGUAAGAGCCUCAGAAGAACUCGCAGUGCCGUUGUGAGCUGAUCAGACCUCACAUGGCUGCUAGCGCCAGGCGUGUUGGUCUGAGUAUUUCAGAAACUGCUGAUCUCCUGGGAUUUUCACUCAUAAUCAUCUCUCGGUUUUAUAGGCAGAGGUCCAAAUGAGAGAAAAUACCCAGAAAGCUGCAGUUGUGUAGACGGAAAACGCCUUGUUGAUGUCAUGGGAGAAUGGGCAGGGCGGUUGGAGACGACAGAAAAGCAACAGCAGCUUAAAUACAUCUGUCCAACGCAUGUAAUUAAGAUGAAAAAAUAUUUAUUACCUCCAUUUUAUGGCACAACAUUCAUAUCACCACAAACUCAAAUGUUGCUCUUGAAAAACAUUCCCAUUUACGACACCAAUAACUUAAAGAAAUGGGAUUUAUAUCACUAAACUGCUCAGUCCUCCUGCAUUUGACUAUAUUUUGGAUUUUACUGAUGCUAUAGUGAAACAAUUAGUGGAGAAAAUGCCAAAAAUACAAUUUUUUACUACUGUCACUUUUAAAUUUUAUUUGGCAUCAUCAAUUGAAAUUUAUCAAGACAAUGAUACACCAAAAUUCUUACCAUGAUAUUAAGUUUUUCACGAUACAUGAUAAACGAUACAAUAAAUGUCCACCACUGUUUUGAAUGCAAUCUUAAAGCCAUUUUUUGAAAACAAACUCAUUCUUUAAAGUCAUUCUUUAAAGUCAUUCUUUAACAUAACCUGAAAUGGAAUAUUUCAAUCCAAAGGUUUUUUAGACGCUAGAAGAAAUACUCAAACCAGGGUCAAAAGUUUGUUGCUGUGGAGAAACAAUCUGUAAAAAACAAUCACAGCUAUGAUUCAUCUGAUCAACUUUCACAAUUGCUCCAUUUAUGUAGGAACUCCACCUUUCCCUUUCGACUUCAGCGUUUUUCCCUGUUGGCUAAUAAUAUAAACCUCUAGUUGUUUGAGUCCAGUUCAGGGAUGAAGGAGGAUGAUUGUUUGUAUGCGAAUGUUGUAAUUGAAAGUUUUAUCUUUAAAACCCAACCAACCAAUUAUCAUGCAGUGGGGGAUUUUCAAUAUUUAGAGCAGACUGUGUUUUAUUGUUAUAUCUAGGUUUAGAGUGAUGGGAACUCUCCUUUUAUCAGUCAGCGUGAAAAAGUAUUUGCUCAACUGGCAGAUUAUUUCACUUAUUGGUGGGA